GAAGAGCCUGUGAUGGGAAGCCGAGCCGGUCUGGAGGCUGGGACGUAAAGGAUAAGAAGGGCAGGGGCCCCCAACCCGGCAGGGGCCCCCAACCCCCGGGCCAUGGACUGGUACUGGUCCUUGGCCUGUUGGGAACCAGGCUGCACAGCAGGAGGUGAGUGGCGGGUGAACUGAGCAAAGCUUCAUCUGUAUUUACAGCCACUCGCCAUCGCUUGCAUUACCGUCUGAGCUCCACCUCCUGUCAGCAUUAUGCAGAAUCCUUGUCACCCACCAAACCCAG
Molecule: long non-coding RNA, 280 nt
Organism: Physeter macrocephalus (sperm whale)
Lineage: Eukaryota; Metazoa; Chordata; Mammalia; Artiodactyla; Physeteridae
Exons: 3
Source: RefSeq, a predicted model, not a curated record